Non-coding RNA from Triticum aestivum (bread wheat), 135 nucleotides. The record is from Rfam. NCBI's taxonomy places the organism in Eukaryota, Viridiplantae, Streptophyta, Magnoliopsida, Poales, Poaceae.
GUAGUACUCCCUCCGUCCCAAAAUUUUUGUCUUACGUUUGUUUAGAUAUGGAUCUAUCUAAUACUAAAAUGUAACUAGAUACAUCUGUAUUUAGACAAAUUUAAGACAAAAAUUUUGGGAUGGAGGGAGUACAAA